CACUAUGCUUAGCCCUAAACUUAGAUAGUUAUCCUAAACAAAACUAUCCGCCAGAGAACUACUAGCAAUAGCUUAAAACUCAAAGGACUUGGCGGUGCUUUACAUCCCUCUAGAGGAGCCUGUUCUAUAAUCGAUAAACCCCGAUAUACCUCACCAUCUCUUGCUAAUUCAGCCUAUAUACCGCCAUCUUCAGCAAACCCUAAAAAGGAAGAAAAGUAAGCACAAGUAUCUUAACAUAAAAAAGUUAGGUCAAGGUGUAGCUCAUGAGAUGGGAAGCAAUGGGCUACAUUUUCUAAAAUUAGAACACCCACGAAGAUCCUUACGAAACUAAGUAUUAAAGGAGGAUUUAGUAGUAAAUUUGAGAAUAGAGAGCUCAAUUGAAUCGGGCCAUGAAGCACGC
Molecule: ribosomal RNA, 400 nt
Filed under: Felis catus (domestic cat)
Lineage: Eukaryota; Metazoa; Chordata; Mammalia; Carnivora; Felidae
Description: partial small subunit ribosomal RNA
Rfam family: Bacterial small subunit ribosomal RNA
Source: RNAcentral